GACGAACGCUGGUGGCGUGCUUAACACAUGCAGGUCGAACGGAAAGGCCCUGCUUUUGUGGGGUGCUCGAGUGGCGAACGGGUGAGUAACACGUGAGUAACCUGCCCUUGACUUUGGGAUAACUUCAGGAAACUGGGGCUAAUACCGGAUAGGAGCUCCUGCUGCAUGGUGGGGGUUGGAAAGUUUCGGCGGUUGGGGAUGGACUCGCGGCUUAUCAGCUUGUUGGUGGGGUAGUGGCUUACCAAGGCUUUGACGGGUAGCCGGCCUGAGAGGGUGACCGGCCACAUUGGGACUGAGAUACGGCCCAGACUCCUACGGGAGGCAGCAGUGGGGAAUAUUGCACAAUGGGCGGAAGCCUGAUGCAGCAACGCCGCGUGCGGGAUGACGGCCUUCGGGUUGUAAACCGCUUUCGCCUGUGACGAAGCGUGAGUGACGGUAAUGGGUAAAGAAGCACCGGCUAACUACGUG
Molecule: ribosomal RNA, 468 nt
Filed under: uncultured bacterium
Lineage: Bacteria
Description: partial 16S ribosomal RNA
Rfam family: Bacterial small subunit ribosomal RNA
Source: RNAcentral